UACGUAGGGUGCAAGCGUUGUCCGGAAUUAUUGGGCGUAAAGAGCUCGUAGGCGGUCUGUCGCGUCGAAUGUGAAAACCCGGGGCUCAACCCCGGGCCUGCAGCCGAUACGGGCUGACUAGAAUUCGGUAGGGGAGUCUGGAAUUCCUGGUGUAGCGGUGAAAUGCGCAGAUAUCAGGAGGAACACCGGUGGCGAAGGCGGGACUCUGGGCCGAUAUUGACGCUGAGGAGCGAAAGCGUGGGGAGCGAACAGGA
Molecule: ribosomal RNA, 254 nt
Filed under: uncultured bacterium
Lineage: Bacteria
Description: partial 16S ribosomal RNA
Rfam family: Bacterial small subunit ribosomal RNA
Source: RNAcentral